RNAcentral lists this unclassified non-coding RNA (344 nucleotides) under soil metagenome. RNAcentral's name for it is "partial contains 5.8S ribosomal RNA, internal transcribed spacer 2, and large subunit ribosomal RNA". The stretch from base 1 to 119 matches the Rfam family "5.8S ribosomal RNA", at positions 35 to 154 of the family's 154-position model. The record is from RNAcentral.
GAUGAAGAACGUAGCGAAAUGCGAUACGUAAUGUGAAUUGCAAAUUCAGUGAAUCAUCGAGUCUUUGAACGCACAUUGCGCCCCCUGGUAUUCCGGGGGGCAUGCCUGUCCGAGCGUCAUUGCUGCCCUCAAGCACGGCUUGUGUGUUGGGCCCCGUCCUCCGAUCCCGGGGACGGGCCCGAAAGGCAGCGGCGGCACCGCGUCCGGUCCUCGAGCGUAUGGGGCUUUGUCACCCGCUCUGUAGGCCCGGCCGGCGCUUGCCGAUCAACCCAAAUUUUUAUCCAGGUUGACCUCGGAUCAGGUAGGGAUACCUGCUGAACUUAAGCAUAUCAAUAAGCGGAGGA